GACGAACCGUGCAAACGUUGUUCGGAAUCACUGGGCUUAAAGGGCGCGUAGGCGGGCCAGCAAGUCAGGGGUGAAAUCUUUCAGCUCAACUGGAAAAGGGCCUUUGAUACUGCUGGUCUCGAGGGAGGUAGGGGCAUGCGGAACUUCCGGUGGAGCGGUGAAAUGCGUAGAUAUCGGAAGGAACGCCGGUGGCGAAAGCGGCGUGCUGGACCUCUUCUGACGCUGAGGCGCGAAAGCUAGGGGAGCAAACGGG
Molecule: ribosomal RNA, 253 nt
Filed under: uncultured bacterium
Lineage: Bacteria
Description: partial 16S ribosomal RNA
Rfam family: Bacterial small subunit ribosomal RNA
Source: RNAcentral